AGCGAACGCUAGCGGCAUGCUUAAUACAUGCAAGUCGAACGAAGCCAAGUUUUGUAGCAAUACAAGAUGGAAGCUUAGUGGCGAACGGGUGAGUAAUAUAUAGGAAUCUGCCCAGUAGUGGGGGACAACAGUUGGAAACGACUGCUAAUACCGCAUACGUCCGAGAGGAGAAAGAUUUAUUGCUAUUGGAGGAGCCUAUACACGAUUAGCUUGUUGGUGAGAUAAAAGCCCACCAAGGCGACGAUCGUUAGCCGGUCUUAGAGGAUGAUCGGCCACAUUGGGACUGAGACACGGCCCAGACUCC
Molecule: ribosomal RNA, 304 nt
Filed under: uncultured Rickettsiales bacterium
Lineage: Bacteria; Pseudomonadati; Pseudomonadota; Alphaproteobacteria; Rickettsiales
Description: bacterial SSU rRNA
Rfam family: Bacterial small subunit ribosomal RNA
Source: RNAcentral